UACGGAGGGUGCAAGCGUUAUCCGGAAUCACUGGGUUUAAAGGGUGCGUAGGCGGCAUUAUAAGUCAGAGGUGAAAGCUUGCAGCUUAACUGUGAAAUUGCCUUUGAUACUGUAGUGCUUGAAUUAGGUUGAGGUUAGCGGAAUGUGACAUGUAGCGGUGAAAUGCAUAGAUAUGUCAUAGAACACCAAUUGCGAAGGCAGCUAACUAGACUUAUAUUGACGCUGAGGCACGAAAGCGUGGGGAGCGAACAGG
RNAcentral lists this ribosomal RNA (253 nucleotides) under uncultured bacterium. RNAcentral describes it as "partial 16S ribosomal RNA". It matches the Rfam family "Bacterial small subunit ribosomal RNA", at positions 524 to 776 of the family's 1533-position model. The record is from RNAcentral.